RNAcentral lists this small RNA (682 nucleotides) under Drosophila mojavensis. RNAcentral describes it as "GI25912". The record is from RNAcentral. Lineage: Eukaryota; Metazoa; Arthropoda; Insecta; Diptera; Drosophilidae.
AACGCUUCUGCUAACAAAAUUAUACGUAAAAAUUUCGUAGUUAUCAUUUUCUUUUUUUAAAUAAUAUUAAAAUUAUAAAAUGGAUUACACUUGGGCGGUUACAUUGCUGUUGGGUUGCGUAUUGGGCUUUGUAGUCGGUCUCCAUUCGUAAACCGCAAAGAGAACAUGCUUUGAGACGUCACGUUCCAAGCAACCCCAAGGAAUCAGAUCAGUAUAAAGUAGUGUUCCGUGAGUAUCGUAUCGUUCUCUACACAACCUAUUUUUUUUUUUGGAUUUUCUAAAUUUUUGGAUUUGUAAAGGUAAUUCAAGUAGAUAGGGGUAUAUAAACAGAAAAGAAAAUGAAGUUGGAUUGGCUAGUCACUCUGCUGGUGGGCUGCAUUCUUGGUUAUUUAAUUGGCGUUCAAUGUUGAGCUUCCAGCAAGUCGAGAAACUAGAUGAAAAAUUGACAUGAGCCACUAGAUCUUCAUGAUGAGUCACAUUAUAUCAUAUGGCCUGGGUUUAAUAACGGGCUUGAUGCUGUGCAAACGUUGUGGUCCACCCUAACCAGGUUACAAAAUUACCGAUUGAAGAAACUAAAUCAUUUCCUAUCAAGACAUAUAAAUCAAAUAUGUACAAACUAGAUAAAGUGCAAUAAUAUUAGAAAUAUGUAGUAUAUAAGCAAUAAAUAAUGAUCAAAUAUUGA